This 497-nucleotide ribosomal RNA is filed under the name uncultured bacterium. RNAcentral's name for it is "partial 16S ribosomal RNA". It matches the Rfam family "Bacterial small subunit ribosomal RNA", at positions 28 to 507 of the family's 1533-position model. The record is from RNAcentral.
GAUGAACGCUGGCGGCGUGCCUAAUACAUGCAAGUCGAGCGAACGGACGAGAAUCUUUCUUCUCUUAUGUUAGCGGCGGACGGGUGAGGAAUACGUGUAUAACCUACCUAUAAGACUGGGGUAACUUCGCGAAACCUGAUCUAGUACCCGUUAUUAGUGUGAACCUCAUGGAUCUUAGGUGAAAGCCGUUCUUGCUGUCACUUAGAGGUGUAUCCUGGCUGCAUUAGCUAGUUGGUAAGGUAACGGCCUACCAAGGCAACGAUGCGUAGCUGACCUGAGAGGAUGAUCGGCCACACUGGAACUGAGACACGGUCCAGACUCCUACGGGAGGCAGCAGUAGGGAAUCUUCGGCAAUGGGCGAAAGCCUGACGGAGCCACGCCGCGUGAGUGAUGAAGGUCUUCGGAUUGUAAAGCUCUGUUAUUAGGGAAGAACAUAUGUGUAAGUAAAUGUGCACGUCUUGACGGUACCAAAACAGAAAGCCACGGCUAACUACGUG